This 944-nucleotide long non-coding RNA is filed under the name Linum usitatissimum (flax). RNAcentral describes it as "long non-coding RNA (LUSI_LNC006671)". Lineage: Eukaryota; Viridiplantae; Streptophyta; Magnoliopsida; Malpighiales; Linaceae. The record is from RNAcentral.
GAAGAGAGCCACAUUGUUGUAUGAUUUAUUUAUUUAACUUUGGGUGUUUUUAAACUCGUUUAAUCCACAAGAGGUGUACUGCAGGAGAUUGGUGAGUCUGACUCUCCAGGUGGGAUCUCUAUCCUAUAUCCGAUUGAAGAGUAAUUUGAGAAAAUAAGUUACAUAGAGGAAGGAAAGAGAAGUAAAUACACGAGAAGGUCUACGGCCCAAUUAAAAUUUGAAAUGAAUCAAAAAGAAGCCCAACCAAAGAAAGCCACAAAAACCCUAGAUCAAACUUCACCAACAACAACGACCGCCGAAAUUGUGCAAGAUGAGAGACUUGCAACAACAUGCUUGAGACCUAGAAACGGAAGAUCCGAGCCGACCUGAGAUCUACCACCGCAACCAACCGUCGAGUGCAAGAGAUCGCUGAAGAAGACCGAUGAAGGCUGCCCUGCUUCAAGACUCGAGGCACUGAAUCCUGACGAGAAUAAUCGCCAUGCAUCUCCAAAACACUAACGCAAUCCAAUAUAGCAAGGAGGUAGACACGCAGAUACAAAGAGGAAGAAAAAAACCAUUGAAGAAUCCAUAGCUCCCAGAGCAACUAGGCAGCCAAAUCAAAUCUGAAAUAGAGAUGAAGACAAGAAACAAGCUCCACAAGGGAGAAACACAAAGCUCCACAAGAGAGAACACAAAGCUCCACAAGGGGACAAACACAUCCAAACAAGACUCUAGAUUUGAACAAGCAGAACAGAGAAAAAACCAAAUGUGAAACAAAUUACUUAGGGAAGGAAAAACGAACAAUACCAAGGAAAGGAAGAGAGGAAAUCACUGAUCGAGCAAGAUGGCUUGCCGCCGAACACCAAGAAGAGAGAUGGCAGAGAAAAUUUAAAAUAGAGAGAGAAUUUUGGUACUCGGGGAUUUAAGAGCAAUCUUAAUCUUUAUAUUUGCACAUGAUCUAUGAG